AUGAGCGGAGAACUCUCACCGUACGCUCAAAUAUCCACCGUGUUGUCUGUUCAAAUGACAAGCUCUCCGCGCUGCGCUGUCCUUUGUUGCGAGCAUCUCAACGUAAACACUGAGCUGACCCGUUCUGCCCGGCGCGUGCACGACGUAGGAGGGGACGCACAAAGGGCUCAACGACAUCGCCGCGACGUCUUCUGGGACUGGAAGCAGCAGACACACCUUCCUUUGAUUCUGUGGGUGGAGGCGCUGCAGCCAGUUCGCUUCAGCCCUGAUGGAUGUUUUGACAAGUGCUUCUCUUGCCAAGGCCCAACGAGCUUCCCUUGUGUGAACCAUGGGGAAAUAACGAAAAAGGCAAAACUCCUGCACAAUGGGUGACCAGGUUACAGCUGCAUGUGAAAGGAAGCUGUUGUGCGUCUGGACGCUUGGACACAGACUGAACGAUGACCUCGAGUUUGUGACACGGUCUCAUUUCUGCACUUCACAUGUUUAUUGUUAUAACCUACUGGAGCCUGGGCAUGUCCCCGUAGGAAAAGUGGUUUGAAUAUGAGCAAAAGCAUGUGACGCUGGACACAACGUGACGCGCACUAAGGGCAAACUGUUCUCAGAGAGCAUUUUACCCUUUGUUGUUGUUGUGCGAUAAGGCCAAAACAUAGCAACAGCUGGGCCACAUCGGCCGCGUCGGCCGUCAGCGGGGCUGCACGGAGACGUCUGCACUGGUGUGACAGGAUUAUGUGAUAGAAACAUGCUGCGCUCAUGCGUUGCCAAAUAUUAAAUAACACCACUGUCCCGUGUUUGAGGGG
This 797-nucleotide long non-coding RNA is filed under the name Betta splendens (Siamese fighting fish). RNAcentral's name for it is "lncRNA (ENSBSLG00000018651.1)". Lineage: Eukaryota; Metazoa; Chordata; Actinopteri; Anabantiformes; Osphronemidae. The record is from RNAcentral.